UGAAGUUUUGGCCUUACUAUAUUUCCAUUGUGACCAUCAGGCUUCUUUCUUCCCCGAGAAGGUGAUCCAAACAAAGGAUGAUCUAAACAAGAGUUGUAUUUU
Molecule: long non-coding RNA, 102 nt
Organism: Dipodomys spectabilis (banner-tailed kangaroo rat)
Lineage: Eukaryota; Metazoa; Chordata; Mammalia; Rodentia; Heteromyidae
Exons: 3
Source: RefSeq, a predicted model, not a curated record